AGGAAGAGAAUCACACUCUUUAGACCGGGGUCUCAGAUUUCAGCCGGACGGGAACUCUCUGCAGGGCCGGUGGAAAGAGAUCGCCAGCCCCAGCUCUGUAGGGGUGCGGCCUGCCUCGAGCACUUCACACGCGUGCCCGGGGAUGCUGGUGCUGCAGCAGGCUUAAAGAAGAAACCCAAACGCUCUGUGAAUGGGACAUGUGCUCAGAGGCGUCUGCAGUUGAGGCGGGUGACGUUCUGGGGUCCCUGGGAAGUUGUCAUCACCCUGCUGACAUGAGUGUGGAUGUUGAGGCCUGGAGGGUGACAGGUCACACAGCCAGAGCCUGGCAGCAGCGCAGGGGCGGAACCCCGGGUCCCCUGUGGGCCUGUGCCCUCUCGGCCAGCCUUGCAACGCGCAGCUAACGCUCUUCAAGAAAACAUUCUCUGGAGGAAUCCUGCUGGUCCUGAAGUUUUUGGCCUUGAGAAGGUCAUCACAGACACCCCUCCCCUCGGGCCAGGCCUGCUGUCUUGUCUAAGGGGCCCUAUUUUAUCUGAGGUGAUUUGCAACUCUGAAACACACAUACAUAAAAUAGAAAUACCGUCCUCACUAUUAACCUAGAGACCCCCAUCCCUACCCCUCCCUAUGAAUGCUUUUUCAUAAACAUGCCGCAUUCUGAGGAAUCCGAAAGACUCCAGCGUAGGACAGACCGCUGUUCCAAGCCACUGGGAAAGGGGAAACUGGUGACUGAGCGGCGCCCGUCAGAGCCAUUAAAACGUGAGGGAAAACUGCACCUUACGGCACACGAACCCUUAGAAGAGGCAAAACACUACUGAGUUAAUGCUUAAUUUAUUUGUAAUGAUAAAAGUUUUUAUCACUUUAAAUAAAGUUAUUUGAAAAAAGUUAUUCAAUGGCAG
RNAcentral lists this long non-coding RNA (893 nucleotides) under Homo sapiens (human). Its description in RNAcentral is "HSALNT0207493". The record is from RNAcentral. Lineage: Eukaryota; Metazoa; Chordata; Mammalia; Primates; Hominidae.